AACGAACGCUGGCGGCAGGCUUAACACAUGCAAGUCGAACGCCCCGCAAGGGGAGUGGCAGACGGGUGAGUAACGCGUGGGAACAUACCCUUUCCUGCGGAAUAGCUCCGGGAAACUGGAAUUAAUACCGCAUACGCCCUACGGGGGAAAGAUUUAUCGGGGAAGGAUUGGCCCGCGUUGGAUUAGCUAGUUGGUGGGGUAAAGGCCUACCAAGGCGACGAUCCAUAGCUGGUCUGAGAGGAUGAUCAGCCACAUUGGGACUGAGACACGGCCCAAACUCCUACGGGAGGCAGCAGUGGGGAAUAUUGGACAAUGGGCGCAAGCCUGAUCCAGCCAUGCCGCGUGAGUGAUGAAGGCCUUAGAGUUGUAAAGCUCUUUCACCGAUGAAGAUAAUGACGGUAGUCGGAGAAGAAGCCCCGGCUAACUUCGUG
RNAcentral lists this ribosomal RNA (431 nucleotides) under uncultured bacterium. RNAcentral describes it as "partial 16S ribosomal RNA". It matches the Rfam family "Bacterial small subunit ribosomal RNA", at positions 29 to 507 of the family's 1533-position model. The record is from RNAcentral.